Molecule: ribosomal RNA, 274 nt
Filed under: uncultured bacterium
Lineage: Bacteria
Description: partial 16S ribosomal RNA
Rfam family: Bacterial small subunit ribosomal RNA
Source: RNAcentral
AUACGGAGGGUGCAAGCGUUACUCGGAAUCACUGGGCGUAAAGCGCAUGCAGGCGGUCUAAUAAGUUGGAAGUGAAAGCCUAUGGCUCAACCAUAGAACUGCUUCCAAAACUGUUAGACUAGAGUCUGGGAGGGGAAGAUGGAAUUAGUAGUGUAGGGGUAAAAUCCGUAGAGAUUAAUAGGAAUACCAAAAGCGAAGGCGAUCUUCUGGAACAGUACUGACGCUGAGAUGCGAAAGCGUGGGGAGCAAACAGGAUUAGAAACCCUAGUAGUCC